RNAcentral lists this ribosomal RNA (450 nucleotides) under uncultured Glomeromycotina. Its description in RNAcentral is "SSU rRNA". It matches the Rfam family "Eukaryotic small subunit ribosomal RNA", at positions 569 to 1023 of the family's 1831-position model. The record is from RNAcentral. Lineage: Eukaryota; Fungi; Glomeromycota.
AGCAGCCGCGGUAAUUCCAGCUCCAAUAGCGUAUAUUAAAGUUGUUGCAGUUAAAAAGCUCGUAGUUGAAUUUCGGGGUUAGUAGGUUGGUCGUGUCACCGGUAUGUACUGGCUCUACUGAUCCCUCCUUCUUGUAGAACCGUAAUGCCAUUAACUUGGUGUUGCGGGGAAACAGGACUGUUACUUUGAAAAAAUUAGAGUGUUUAAAGCAGGCUAACGCUUGAAUACAUUAGCAUGGAAUAAUGAAAUAGGACACUCGAUCCUAUUUUGUUGGUUUCUAGGAUUGACGUAAUGAUUAAUAGGGAUAGUUGGGGGCAUUAGUAUUCAAUUGUCAGAGGUGAAAUUCUUGGAUUUAUUGAAGACUAACUACUGCGAAAGCAUUUGCCAAGGAUGUUUUCAUUAAUCAAGAACGAAAGUUAGGGGAUCGAAGACGAUCAGAUACCGUCGUAG